RNAcentral lists this transfer RNA (70 nucleotides) under Bathygadus antrodes. Its description in RNAcentral is "tRNA-Pro". It matches the Rfam family "tRNA". Rfam says of the family: Transfer RNA (tRNA) molecules are approximately 80 nucleotides in length. Their secondary structure includes four short double-helical elements and three loops (D, anti-codon, and T loops). Further hydrogen bonds mediate the characteristic L-shaped molecular structure. tRNAs have two regions of fundamental functional importance: the anti-codon, which is responsible for specific mRNA codon recognition, and the 3' end, to which the tRNAs corresponding amino acid is attached (by aminoacyl-tRNA synthetases). tRNAs cope with the degeneracy of the genetic code in two manners: having more than one tRNA (with a specific anti-codon) for a particular amino acid; and 'wobble' base-pairing, i.e. permitting non-standard base-pairing at the 3rd anti-codon position. The record is from RNAcentral. RNAcentral also lists the same sequence under 1 other name. Lineage: Eukaryota; Metazoa; Chordata; Actinopteri; Gadiformes; Macrouridae.
CAAAGAGUAGUUAAAAUUAAAAUUCUGGCUUUGGGGGCCAGCGGUGGGAGUUAAAUUCUCCUCUCUUUGA